This 274-nucleotide ribosomal RNA is filed under the name uncultured bacterium. RNAcentral's name for it is "partial 16S ribosomal RNA". It matches the Rfam family "Bacterial small subunit ribosomal RNA", at positions 523 to 796 of the family's 1533-position model. The record is from RNAcentral.
AUACGGAGGGUGCUAGCGUUGUUCGGAAUCACGGGGCGUAAAGCGCGCGUAGGCGGUUUGAUAAGUUGGAAGUGAAAGCCCAGGGCUUAACCUUGGAAUUGCUUUCAAAACUGUUAAACUAGAGAAUGGUAGAGGAUAGUGGAAUUCCUAGUGUAGAGGUGAAAUUCGUAGAUAUUAGGAGGAACACCAGAGGCGAAGGCGACUAUCUGGGCCAUUUCUGACGCUAAGGCGCGAAAGCGUGGGGAGCAAACAGGAUUAGAAACCCGGGUAGUCC